RNAcentral lists this ribosomal RNA (464 nucleotides) under uncultured bacterium. RNAcentral's name for it is "bacterial SSU rRNA". It matches the Rfam family "Bacterial small subunit ribosomal RNA", at positions 337 to 794 of the family's 1533-position model. The record is from RNAcentral.
UCCUACGGGGGGCAGCAGUCGAGAAUUUUUCACAAUGGGCGAAAGCCUGAUGGAGCGACGCCGCGUGGGGGAAGAAUGGCUUCGGCCCGUAAACCCCUGUCAUUUGCGAACAAUGCUCACGGUUGAACAGAUCGUGAGUUGAUAGUAGCGAAAGAGGAAGGGACGGCUAACUCUGUGCCAGCAGCCGCGGUAAUACAGAGGUCCCAAGCGUUGUUCGGAUUCACUGGGCGUAAAGGGUGCGUAGGCGGUGGGGUAAGUCUGAUGUGAAAUCUCGGAGCUCAACUCCGAAAUGGCAUUGGAAACUACCUCGCUAGAGGGUUGGAGGGGGGACUGGAAUUCUCGGUGUAGCAGUGAAAUGCGUAGAUAUCGAGAGGAACACCAGUGGCGAAGGCGAGUCCCUGGACAACUCCUGACGCUCAGGCACGAAAGCUAGGGGAGCAAACAGGAUUAGAUACCCCGGUAGC